RNAcentral lists this ribosomal RNA (488 nucleotides) under uncultured bacterium. Its description in RNAcentral is "partial 16S ribosomal RNA". It matches the Rfam family "Bacterial small subunit ribosomal RNA", at positions 30 to 507 of the family's 1533-position model. The record is from RNAcentral.
AUUGAACGCUGGCGGCAGGCCUAACACAUGCAAGUCGAACGGUAACAGGAAACAGCUUGCUGUUUCGCUGACGAGUGGCGGACGGGUGAGUAAUGUCUGGGAAACUGCCUGAUGGAGGGGGAUAACUACUGGAAACGGUAGCUAAUACCGCAUAACGUCGCAAGACCAAAGAGGGGGACCUUCGGGCCUCUUGCCAUCGGAUGUGCAGAUGGGAUUAGCUAGUAGGUGGGGUAACGGCUCACCUAGGCGACGAUCCCUAGCUGGUCUGAGAGGAUGACCAGCCACACGGGAACUGGGACACGGUCCAGACUCCUACGGGAGGCAGCAGUGGGGAAUAUUGCACAAUGGGCGCAAGCCUGAUGCAGCCAUGCCGCGUGUAUGAAGAAGGCCUUCGGGUUGUAAAGUACUUUCAGCGGGGAUGAAGGGAGUAAAGUUAAUACCUUUGCUCAUUGACGUUACCCGCAGAAGAAGCACCGGCUAACUCCGUG